This 329-nucleotide ribosomal RNA is filed under the name uncultured eukaryote. RNAcentral's name for it is "partial 18S ribosomal RNA". It matches the Rfam family "Eukaryotic small subunit ribosomal RNA", at positions 1470 to 1796 of the family's 1831-position model. The record is from RNAcentral.
CCCUUAGAUGUUCUGGGCCGCACGCGCGCUACACUGUUUGACGCAGCGAGUCUUAACCUGGUCUGAUAGGGCUGGGUAAUCUUUUGAAAGUGCAUCGUGUUUGGGAUAGAUGAUUGCAAUUCUUCAUCUUCAACGAGGAAUGCCUAGUAAACGCAAGUCAUCAGCUUGCAUUGAUUACGUCCCUGCCCUUUGUACACACCGCCCGUCGCUCCUACCGAUUGAAUGAUCCGAUGAAUACCAUGGAUUGAGAGUACGAAUGGGUUCGCUCAUUUCUGCUGCUCGAGAAGUGGAGUAAAUCUUAUCAUUUAGAGGAAGGAGAAGUCGUAACA